Non-coding RNA from Clohesyomyces aquaticus, 137 nucleotides. The record is from the annotation of a GenBank genome assembly. Lineage: Eukaryota; Fungi; Ascomycota; Dothideomycetes; Pleosporales; Lindgomycetaceae.
GGGCUUGUGGUUUAGUACGUAAUAAUCUAAUGCAACAUUCACUGCAUAUAACUAACAAUUAUCAGGGGGUAUAAUGUUCGCUUCGCAUAACGACAUGUGUCUGCGAAAGGUCCUGGGUUCGAUUCCCAGCAAGUCCA